GACGAACGCUGGCGGCGUGCUUAACACAUGCAAGUCGAACGGAAAGGCCCCUUUGGGGGCUCUAGUGUGGCGAAGGGGAGAGUAACACGGGAGUAACCCGCCCUUGUUUUGGGGAAAACUGCAGGAAACGGGGGAAUAUCCCGGAUAGCAACCCGUGCCGCAUGGUGGGGGUUGGAAAGCUUCGGGGGUGUUGGGUGGGCUCGCGGGUUAUCAGCUUGUUGGGGGGGUAGUGGGUUACCAAGGCCUUGACGGGUAGCCGGCCUGAGGGGGCGACCGGCCACAUUGGGGCUGGGGUACGGCCCAGGCUCCUACGGGAGGCAACAGGGGGGAAAAUUGCACAAUGGGCGGCAGGCUGGUGCAGCAGCGCCGCGUGCGGGAUGGCGGCCUUCGGGUUGUAAACCGCUUUCAGCAGGGGCGAAGCUUGUGGUGACGGUACCUGCAGAAGAAGCACCGGCUAACUACGUG
This 465-nucleotide ribosomal RNA is filed under the name uncultured bacterium. RNAcentral describes it as "partial 16S ribosomal RNA". It matches the Rfam family "Bacterial small subunit ribosomal RNA", at positions 28 to 507 of the family's 1533-position model. The record is from RNAcentral.